Non-coding RNA from Podarcis lilfordi (Lilford's wall lizard), 72 nucleotides. NCBI's taxonomy places the organism in Eukaryota, Metazoa, Chordata, Lepidosauria, Squamata, Lacertidae. The record is from the annotation of a GenBank genome assembly.
AUUGUCAUAGCUCAGUGAUAAAGCAUCUGCUUUGCAUGUAGAAGGUCCCAGGUUCAAUCCCCAAUGGCAACU